Parasteatoda tepidariorum (common house spider) is the source of this 2153-nucleotide long non-coding RNA. Lineage: Eukaryota; Metazoa; Arthropoda; Arachnida; Araneae; Theridiidae. The record is from RefSeq and is a predicted model, not a curated record.
AAAAAUUAUAGUAUGUUGCUUUUUAUAAUUUUUUUAUUUUAGGGUUACAUAAGUAGAAAAAAAACCCUCAUGCUUUCGAUUUGACAAGUCGAUCCACUAGAAUAAAUCUUAGCUGUAUACUACAUGAUUAAAGGAUAUUGUACGGAUCAUCUAAGAGUUCUGACAUAAAAUAUUGCCUUAAUGUGUGAGUAGAAAUAUUUUAGUAAAAAUGUUUGCUAUUAGAUAGGAUAGAUAGUAGAUAGAACUGUUAUUAAAUGUUGAUGCAAUGUUGAUUGUUUGGAUCAAUAGACCUAAAUGUCAGUCUGGUUGAUACUUUUUUUGUAUGUACAACUUAAAUUUGAGACUACUUGACUCUGUGUAGGCAAACAACAUAAAGAUCACAAAUGGUAAAAUGAAAGACUCAGAACUAAAAAUGGAUAAUAGUAUCUAAUUUUUGGUACUGUUGAUGCUUUUUUAUAAGUAAAACAGCAGCAUAUUUAAAAAAUUUUUACUUUUGAUAAACUUUUUGCAUUUUUCUUAGAAAUAUAAUUAAUUUUUCCAAAAGGUAACUCUUCUCCUUUGCUCUCUUUUUAAUAAUGCUUCAUAAAAAAGGCUAUUAUUAAGAUUUUAUAGGUGACAGCUUCUGAAAUGACAUUGCAUAUAAAAAAUUUUUUUUUCUCUUUUUCUUGUUUCACUUGAUAGAUCUUUGAAACAGCCGUACUGAAAUGUAACUUUUUUUUUCUUCCUCCAAUGCCCACCUGAGGAAUGACAUUUCGUCAUACAGUUAUCUGAACGGCAGAUUUGUUGGCCUCUCUUACAUGGGCACCAUAUUAGGUAGGUUAACAUUGCUCCCACUGUAAGGACAAAUAGUAUAGAUGAAAGAACACCCAAACCUUUGCCCGGGAUUUGAACCCAGAACCUUUUUGAUGCAAGGCCAGUUCCCUGACUCCUACUCUAAAAUAUGACUUAGGGCAUGAAAUUUCUGUUCAGAAAUUACCAGCAGUGGUGAGUUUCUUGAUUUUGAAAAUAAACUAAUAAAGUAAAGUUUGAAUUGAAUGCAGCCUGCAGAAAGUCGAUACUUCUUACAAAAAUUGCUUUCAAGAACAGUUCAUAAAUUUUAUGUGUGACUUAAUCUCUGUCGGUUUAAAUCAUCUCUGUUUUGCAAUCCUGCGACUUGAGUUACUGAUGAAGGUGUACCAACUUAAAAUGGAAACGCAUAUUGGGUUUAGAAAUUUUGCCAUUUGUGAUUUUAAAUGUUGUUUUUAAUGAGAUUUAAUAGAAUAUUAUAUUGAUGUUAUUGUGUUAGAAACUUCUAUUGUUUUUUUUUGUACUUAUAUGUAGUGUUGUGCGUAAAAAAUGUGUUUUACUUAAUUUGAUAAGGUAAGCAAUAUUAUUAGCUUAAUAAAAUCAUUUGCAAUUACCAUUUUUGCAUGCGAAAAAAAUGGAUUUAAUUUGAAUAAAAUAUAUUACGCCAGUAUUCUCCAUUGACCCUUAACCUCAGUCACAGUUCAAAACAGGUUUUAUGAGAGCAACUCCAUGUUAGAUUUCAAAAUUUGAUUUCACCGUGUACGUAACUGCGAGUUACUGCAACCCAGAGUUAACUAACUUUAACCUGAAGAUAUUCCCGGUUUGAGUAACUGCGGAUGCGCAAUAGGCGAUUUUUUAUUUAUUUAUGUUUUCAAAAAUAACACUUUUUAUGUUCGGUUGCUUCUUUCUUAUGUUCAAUGAGGUCAAUUUUUUUACUAGAUGUAACUAUAACUAAUUUAUAUCAAAUAAGUUUUUAUUAAUAAAUUGAAAAUUAAAAGGCGCUUUUGAUAUUUAAUUCGAUAUUCGGAAAUUAGAUAUUCAAUAUUCGGUUUGAUAUUAUGUUCAAUGAGGUCAAUUUUUUUCGCUCAGUUCGCUCGAGUAAAAAAAAAGAAGUGGAUAAUGCAGAUUGUGACCACAAUUAUUCAACUAACUUUUAUUUGUUUUUUUAAAGGGAAAAAAAACAAUCGAUGCUUGAAAGAAAUAUAAAAUUUAAAAAAGAAGAAUACAAUUCAUAAAAUGAUUAUGGAUUUUGAUAAUCUAUCGAGAUGAGAGAUCUUGCCUAAAAAUAAAAAAUAGCUUAGAGAUGAACAGACAAAACAAUGUGCAAUAUUUAGAUAUGAAGGUAACGAAUAGCAUUUUAAUUUUUU